RNAcentral lists this ribosomal RNA (252 nucleotides) under uncultured bacterium. Its description in RNAcentral is "partial 16S ribosomal RNA". It matches the Rfam family "Bacterial small subunit ribosomal RNA", at positions 524 to 776 of the family's 1533-position model. The record is from RNAcentral.
CACGGAGGAUGCGAGCGUUAUCCGGAUUUAUUGGGUUUAAAGGGUGCGUAGGCGGGCUUUUAAGUCAGCGGUAAAAAUUCGGGGCUCAACCCCGUCCGGCCGUUGAAACUGGGGGCCUUGAGUGGGCGAGAAGAAGGCGGAAUGCGUGGUGUAGCGGUGAAAUGCAUAGAUAUCACGCAGAACCCCGAUUGCGAAGGCAGCCUUCCGGCGCCCUACUGACGCUGAGGCACGAAAGUGCGGGGAUCGAACAGG